GAUGUGGAGGAACACCAGUGGCGAAGGCGACUCUCUGGUCUGUAACUGACGCUGAGGAGCGAAAGCGUGGGGAGCGAACAGGAUUAGAUACCCUGGUAGUCCACGCCGUAAACGAUGAGUGCUAAGUGUUAGGGGGUUUCCGCCCCUUAGUGCUGCAGCUAACGCAUUAAGCACUCCGCCUGGGGAGUACGGUCGCAAGACUGAAACUCAAAGGAAUUGACGGGGGCCCGCACAAGCGGUGGAGCAUGUGGUUUAAUUCGAAGCAACGCGAAGAACCUUACCAGGUCUUGACAUCCUCUGACAACCCUAGAGAUAGGGCUUUCCCUUCGGGGACAGAGUGACAGGUGGUGCAUGGUCGUCGUCAGCUCGUGUCGUGAGAUGUUGGGUUAAGUCCCGCAACGAGCGCAACCCUUGAUCUUAGUUGCCAGCAUUCAGUUGGGCACUGUAAGGUGACUGCCGGUGACAAACCGGAGGAAGGUGGGGAUGACGUCAAAUCAUCAUGCCCCUUAUGACCUGGGCUACACACGUGAUACAAUGGACAGAACAAAGGGGUGCGAGACCGCAAGGUUUAGCCAAUCCCACAAAUCUGUUCUCAGUUCGGAUCGCAGUAUGCAACUUGAGUGCGUGAAGCGGGAAUCGUUAGUAAUCGCGGAUCAGCAUGCCGCGGUGAAUACGUUC
This 678-nucleotide ribosomal RNA is filed under the name Bacillus sp. (in: firmicutes). Its description in RNAcentral is "bacterial SSU rRNA". It matches the Rfam family "Bacterial small subunit ribosomal RNA", at positions 695 to 1373 of the family's 1533-position model. The record is from RNAcentral. Lineage: Bacteria; Bacillati; Bacillota; Bacilli; Caryophanales; Bacillaceae.